RNAcentral lists this ribosomal RNA (468 nucleotides) under uncultured bacterium. Its description in RNAcentral is "partial 16S ribosomal RNA". It matches the Rfam family "Bacterial small subunit ribosomal RNA", at positions 28 to 507 of the family's 1533-position model. The record is from RNAcentral.
GACGAACGCUGGCGGCGUGCUUAACACAUGCAAGUCGAACGGAAAGGCCCUGCUUUUGUGGGGUGCUCGAGUGGCGAACGGGUGAGUAACACGUGAGUAACCUGCCCUUGACUUUGGGAUAACUUCAGGAAACGGGGGCUAAUACCGGAUAGGAGCUCCUGCUGCAUGGUGGGGGUUGGAAAGUUUCGGCGGUUGGGGAUGGACUCGCGGCUUAUCAGCUUGUUGGUGGGGUAGUGGCUUACCAAGGCUUUGACGGGUAGCCGGCCUGAGAGGGUGACCGGCCACAUUGGGACUGAGAUACGGCCCAGACUCCUACGGGAGGCAGCGGUGGGGAAUAUUGCACAAUGGGCGGAAGCCUGAUGCAGCAACGCCGCGUGCGGGAUGACGGCCUUCGGGUUGUAAACCGCUUUCGCCUGUGACGAAGCGUGAGUGACGGUAAUGGGUAAAGAAGCACCGGCUAACUACGUG